Molecule: non-coding RNA, 30 nt
Filed under: Homo sapiens (human)
Lineage: Eukaryota; Metazoa; Chordata; Mammalia; Primates; Hominidae
Source: RNAcentral
UUUGAGAAUGUCAAUGGAUACACUAGCUGC